CAGCUUAACCACAGGAAGCCAGAUGAAUGGUGUGCUUCUCGGCUCAUUUAUGAACCCCAACAUCAGGCAACAAAGAUACCAGCAAUCCUCGGCUGAUAAUACCAGAGAGUUGCUUCUGUCUUGCCUGAAAGGAGCAUCAAGACCUCAGGGUCAGCAAUCAGUGCCUGGGACUUCAGCCCUAACACCCAGCUCUAACUCCACUUGAGGUAGAACCCACCUCUACUUCAACCAUAGCUCCAACUCUGGGGCAGCCAUCUGAGGAAUGAGCGCAAAUCAUGUGACCAUCUGAGGUAAGAACCAUACACCAAGGCUUCAACUCCAGCUGGAAAUCUCAGUCUGAGGUAGGGAGCAAGCCAGUAUUUCAGUCAUUUCUGGGGUUCUCCUACCCAGGGAGAGAACUUGCUUACAGUUCUUCCUCAACUUCUGCCCAUGGCCAUCUGAGAAAGGGGGCACACCAAAACUACAGCCCCAAAUCACUAUCCCAUGUACAGACUACAUGAAGACUUCAUCCUGAUCUCCAUCUCCAACUGAGGUAGGGACCAUACUUAGAUUUCCACCCCAGCAGCCCUGGUGACAUUGAGAUCUGGAUCCUUCAGGGACUUGUGACCAAACUGUGGGUCACCAUGUGAAGUACGCUGCCUGCUUAGGCUUCAGAGGUGGUAGACUGUGUGUGGGUCUUCACUCUCCGGAACUAGAGCAUGGAACCAAAGGAAU
Molecule: long non-coding RNA, 714 nt
Filed under: Rattus norvegicus (Norway rat)
Lineage: Eukaryota; Metazoa; Chordata; Mammalia; Rodentia; Muridae
Description: long non-coding RNA NONRATT032664
Source: RNAcentral